RNAcentral lists this ribosomal RNA (429 nucleotides) under bacterium. Its description in RNAcentral is "partial 16S ribosomal RNA". It matches the Rfam family "Bacterial small subunit ribosomal RNA", at positions 355 to 776 of the family's 1533-position model. The record is from RNAcentral.
UGGGGAAUUUUGGACAAUGGGCGAAAGCCUGAUCCAGCAAUGCCGCGUGUGUGAAGAAGGCCUUCGGGUUGUAAAGCACUUUUGUCCGGAAAGAAAUGGCUCUGGUUAAUACCUGGGGUCGAUGACGGUACCGGAAGAAUAAGGACCGGCUAACUACGUGCCAGCAGCCGCGGUAAUACGUAGGGUCCAAGCGUUAAUCGGAAUUACUGGGCGUAAAGCGUGCGCAGGCGGUUGUGCAAGACCGAUGUGAAAUCCCCGAGCUUAACUUGGGAAUUACAUUGGUGACUGCACGGCUAGAGUGUGUCAGAGGGGGGUAGAAUUCCACGUGUAGCAGUGAAAUGCGUAGAGAUGUGGAGGAAUACCGAUGGCGAAGGCAGCCCCCUGGGAUAACACUGACGCUCAUGCACGAAAGCGUGGGGAGCAAACAGG